AGAAGAACAUGGAAACGCACCAGAAGGUGGAUACGAUGUUGGAGAUGGUGCUGAAGGAGCACGAAAAGGCGAGGGCCAAAGCGGCUGCUGACAGUGAUCGGAAGAAGGAUCUCUUCGACAUUCUCUUGAACCUAAUUGAAGCUGAUGGUACUGACAAUAAACUCACAAGGCAAAGUGCCAAAGCCUUUGCUCUGGUACGUACACAUUUUUCGUUUUCUCCCAACGUCGCUCACUGUCACAUCCUUCCAAUUUAACAAGGACCAUUAUGACUACAAACAUAUUGAGGAAAGUGUGCUAAUUUCCCUAAAAUUAGAGUUAUUUUUUGCCAAAAUUACUAAUUUAGGAAAGACGUUUCUAAACACGAAUUAAGUCUAAUAAAUUUGAACUGAUUUAGGAAAGUGGUGACAUGUGAGACAAUUUUUCUAAACAUGACUUAAAUGCUGUCGUGUCACACUUUUAAUUCGAUUUUACUUCACUUUUAACAUGUUAGAAAUCGUUAACACAUAUUUUACUACAACUUUUUUAUAUUCAUAAUUCUUUUCAAAAAAAUCCCAUUUUAAUGGAAAAAAGGGGAAAAAUUGGCCCAUUUUCGUAAAAACUCCAAAUAAUCUGUUUAAGAACUAAAAGAAUCUAAAAGUAACAUAUAAAAGUUAAAAUGAGAUAUAAUAGUUGGGAAAACAUCCUUAGUUAUUAAUCUUUACUCAAACCUGAACACAAUAUCAGAAUGGUUGUUAUUACUGUUUUAUUUUAACUAUGGAAUUGAUUCCUAAACCUGACAUAGCUGAACGGUUGCACAGGACAUGUUCAUCGCGGGGACAAAUGGCCCCGCUAGUGUUCUGGAAUGGUCCCUUGCCGAGCUGGUGCGGAACCCGCAUGUGUUGAAGAAGGCGAGAGAGGAGAUAGACUCUGUGGUGGGAAAGGAGAGGGUGGUGAAGGAGUCAGACAUUCCCAACCUCCCUUAUCUGCAAGCAGUGGUGAAGGAAACUCUGAGAAUGCACCCACCCACCCCAAUAUUCGCGCGAGAAGCCAUGCGCACGUGCCAGGUCGACGGCUACGACAUCCCUGCGCACUCCACCAUUCUCAUCAGCACGUGGGCCAUUGGCAGAGACCCCAACUACUGGGACAACGCCCUGGAGUACAACCCAGAUAGGUUCUUGGUCUCCGAUGAAGUUGGAAAAGGCAAAAUCGAUGUGAGGGGACAGUAUUACCAGCUUCUACCCUUCGGAAGCGGAAGAAGAAGCUGCCCCGGAGCCUCACUUGCGUUACUCGUAAUGCAAGCCACGCUCGCCAGUUUGAUCCAGUGCUUCGAUUGGGUGGUAAAUGAUGGGAAGAGUCACGACAUUGACAUGACGGAGGAGGGAAGAGUCACGGUGUUUUUGAAGAAGCCGCUUACCUGCAAGCCUGUUCCGCGGUUCACUCCGUUCGCUGCAUGAACUGUGUGGAUGACUGCAACUCUGUUUUAUUUAGUAAUGAUAUUUAUAUGCUC
Molecule: long non-coding RNA, 1486 nt
Filed under: Phaseolus vulgaris (common bean)
Lineage: Eukaryota; Viridiplantae; Streptophyta; Magnoliopsida; Fabales; Fabaceae
Description: long non-coding RNA (PVUL_LNC001558)
Source: RNAcentral